AGCAGCCGCGGUAACACCGGCGGCCCGAGUGGUGAUCGUGAUUAUUGGGUCUAAAGGGUCCGUAGCCGGUUGGUCAGUCCUCCGGGAAAUCUGAUAGCUCAACUAUUAGGCUUUCGGGGGAUACUGCCAGACUUGGAACCGGGAGAGGUAAGAGGUACUACAGGGGUAGGAGUGAAAUCUUGUAAUCCCUGUGGGACCACCUGUGGCGAAGGCGUCUUACCAGAACGGGUUCGACGGUGAGGGACGAAAGCUGGGGGCACGAACCGGAUUAGAUACCCGGGUAGUCCCAGCCGUAAACGAUGCUCGCUAGGUGUCAGGCAUGGCGCGACCGUGUCUGGUGCCGCAGGGAAGCCGUGAAGCGAGCCACCUGGGAAGUACGGCCGCAAGGCUGAAACUUAAAGGAAUUGGCGGGGGAGCACAACAACGGGUGGAAGCCUGCGGUUUAAUUGGACUCAACGCCGGACAACUCACCGGGGGCGACAGCAAUAUGUAGGCCAAGCUGAAGACUUUGCCUGAAUCGCUGAGGGGUGGUGCAUGG
RNAcentral lists this ribosomal RNA (538 nucleotides) under uncultured archaeon. Its description in RNAcentral is "bacterial SSU rRNA". It matches the Rfam family "Archaeal small subunit ribosomal RNA", at positions 460 to 997 of the family's 1478-position model. The record is from RNAcentral.